GAUGAACGCUAGCGGCAGGCCUAAUACAUGCAAGUCGAACGGGAUUGGGGAGCUUGCUCCCCAUGAGAGUGGCGCACGGGUGCGUAACGCGUGAGCAACCUGCCCGUCCCUGGGGGAUAGCCCGGAGAAAUCCGGAUUAACACCGCAUGACGUUGGAUUGUGGCAUCACAAACCAACCAAAUAUUCAUAGGGGACGGAUGGGCUCGCGUGGCAUUAGCUAGUUGGUGGGGUAACGGCCCACCAAGGCAACGAUGCCUAGGGGCUCUGAGAGGAGAAUCCCCCACACUGGUACUGAGACACGGACCAGACUCCUACGGGAGGCAGCAGUAAGGAAUAUUGGUCAAUGGGCGCAAGCCUGAACCAGCCAUGCCGCGUGCAGGAGGACUGCCCUACGGGUUGUAAACUGCUUUUGUUAGGGAACAAACCCCCGGACGUGUCCGGGGCUGAGCGUACCUAAAGAAUAAGGAUCGGCUAACUCCGUGCCAGCAGCCGCGGUAAUACGGAGGAUCCGAGCGUUAUCCGGAUUUAUUGGGUUUAAAGGGUGCGUAGGCGGCGCGCUAAGUCAGGGGUGAAAGACGGUGGCUCAACCAUCGCAGUGCCUUUGAUACUGGUGCGCUUGAAUGCGGAUGAGGUAGGCGGAAUGUGGCAAGUAGCGGUGAAAUGCAUAGAUAUGCCACAGAACACCGAUUGCGAAGGCAGCUUACCAAGGCGUGAUUGACGCUGAUGCACGAAAGCGUGGGGAUCGAACAGGAUUAGAUACCCUGGUAGUCCACGCCCUAAACGAUGAACACUCGAUGUCGGCGAUACACAGCCGGCGUCCAAGCGAAAGCGUUAAGUGUUCCACCUGGGGAGUACGCCCGCAAGGGUGAAACUCAAAGGAAUUGACGGGGGCCCGCACAAGCGGAGGAGCAUGUGGUUUAAUUCGAUGCAACGCGAAGAACCUUACCUGGUCUUGACAUCCUAGGAAUCUCGCAGAGAUGUGAGAGUGCCUUCGGGAACCUGGAGACAGGUGCUGCAUGGCUGUCGUCAGCUCGUGUCGUGAGAUGUUGGGUUAAGUCCCGCAACGAGCGCAACCCUUACCCUUAGUUGCCAGCAUUAAGUUGGGAACUCUAAGGGGACCGCCGGUGACAAACCGGAGGAAGGUGGGGAUGACGUCAAGUCAUCAUGGCCCUUAUGACCAGGGCUACACACGUGCUACAAUGGCCGGUACAAAGGGUUGCCAACCCGCGAGGGGGAGCCAAUCCCAAAAAGCCGGUCGUAGUCCGGAUCGCAGUCUGCAACUCGGCUGCGUGAAGUCGGAAUCGCUAGUAAUCGUGAAUCAGCGAUGUCACGGUGAAUACGUUCCCGGGUCUUGUACACACCGCCCGUCACACCAUGGGAGUUGAUUGCACCAGAAGUAGGUAGCCUAACCGCAAGGAGGGCGCUUACCACGGUGUGGUCAAUGACUGGGGUGAAGUCGUAACAAGGUAAC
RNAcentral lists this ribosomal RNA (1471 nucleotides) under uncultured bacterium. RNAcentral describes it as "partial 16S ribosomal RNA". It matches the Rfam family "Bacterial small subunit ribosomal RNA". The record is from RNAcentral.